Molecule: long non-coding RNA, 379 nt
Organism: Helianthus annuus (common sunflower)
Lineage: Eukaryota; Viridiplantae; Streptophyta; Magnoliopsida; Asterales; Asteraceae
Exons: 3
Source: RefSeq, a predicted model, not a curated record
UUGACUGCCUUAUCUAUUCCUUGUUGACUACCUUAUUCCCCAAGGAAACAUAGUUAUAAAAACGGUACCCGAAAGCUUCAGUUCUCACACCUUCCGCCAACUCAAACAAAUUUCCGGUCACCUUGUUUGUUUUUCGGCAAACCUUCGUUAUAUUCUGACCCUUUUGUUCGUCUCAGGUUUCGGAAGUUACAACCCAGUGUGGACCAGUUAAACAUAAUUUUGAACCAUCAUUAAAGGUUAGCAGGGAUGGCGGGAAAGUGUGAAGAGAGCUAAAAUAAACAAGUUGGAAACUUAGUGUGUAAUAAUGUAUGAAAUAAAUUAUCAGGAAUAAAUCUUUUGUAAACUCGUUUGGAUAUUAAUAAAAUAAGCCCCUUUUGUA